AACGAACGUUGGCGGCGUGGAUUAGGCAUGCAAGUCGAGCGAGAAAGAGGGGGCAACCCCUUGAGUAAAGCGGCGAACUGGUGAGUAAUAGGUGGGUAAUGUGCCUUUCAGUGGGGGAUAACACCUGGAAACAGGUGCUAAUACCGCAUGGUGCCCGGAGAGUUAGUCAUUCCGGGAUAAAGGUGCCAUAAGCAAUUGUGGUGUCGCUGAAAGAUCGGCCCGCCCCUGAUUAGCCUGUUGGUGGGGUAACGGCCUACCAAAGCUAUGAUCAGUAGCUGGUCUGAGAGGAUGGUCAGCCACACUGGGACUGAGAUACGGCCCAGACUCCUACGGGAGGCAGCAGUCUAGAGGCUUCGUCAAUGGGGGAAACCCUGAACGAGCGACGCCGCGUGCGGGAUGAAGGUCGUGAGAUUGUAAACCGCUGUCGGCAGGAAAAAAUGCCCGAGUGGUGAACUCGGGAGUGAUGGUACCUGCAAAGGAAGCCCGGCUAACUCCGUGCCAG
Molecule: ribosomal RNA, 502 nt
Filed under: uncultured bacterium
Lineage: Bacteria
Description: bacterial SSU rRNA
Rfam family: Bacterial small subunit ribosomal RNA
Source: RNAcentral